UAAUAAUAAUCCCAUCAAUUAAUUUAUCAAAUAAAUUUAAUUUAUCAUCAUCAAAUAAUAUUUAGAGCAUGAAUUUUCAAAUUUACCCUUUGACCGUUAGAAUAAACGGUCAAAUUAACGGAUUUAGAUGUGAAUUGAGCAUUGUUGAAACAUUUAGGUGAGCGGUGGAAUAUGUUGAAACAUUUGGGGGCAUGGCGGAAUUAACCCUUUUUUAAUAAAAAAAUACCGAAUAGUUUAAUCCAAAUUCAACCGAACCAUUCGGUUCGAAUUUCGGUUCAGAAUUUCAUAAUCAGAACCGAACCGAAAGCUAGUGGUAUUUUUGUAAUUUUGAAAUAAUAAUUAUGCGAACCCUAAUAUCGACACCCGAAUUGCUGCUGCUGCCGAUUACAAAACCUUUGCUACUUCGUUCUGGCUUUGCCGCUUUACUGCCGCCUGCCUUCUUUCUUUGCUUCCUUCUGGGUUCUCGAUCUAGCAGCCAUCGCUGCUUCCUUCAAGUUUGAAAGCGUCUCCAGUCCACGGUUGCUGCCGCUGCCGUUUCCUUCUGACUUCAAAAUCCAGCAGCCACUACUGCCGUGGUGCAUGGUGGUGGUGAGAGAGGAAGCUCAGGGGAUCAAUUUAGAUAGUGGAAAGACGGAGGAGAAGGUUGUUGACUCUGCUGUGGUCACUGGUCACCGAGCUCUCUAAGCCCUUCACCGUGUAUUGCAGCCUACAAUUUGCAGGUAAUCUAAGCCCCUCACCGAGUGACUGUGCUGACUCUAAUGCUUUUCUUUUAUUCUAUAUUUGUUGCCGACUUGCCAUAAAAUUACUUUCUGUUGCAUGUUUUGGACCCUCGUGAUGUUAGUUUGAAGCAUUCCUUUUAUCAAUUUCUUAUUAAAAUUACGAAAUUGAACUAUGUUCUCAAGUUAUUGUAGAAAUGUGUCACUGCCAAGCUGGGUUAGAAUAUUUCUCUUUAUUUGCAAAAGAGAUAUUAUUAUUUUGCCACUAAAGUUAUUCUGACACAUCAUGUCAGUACCAUGGUUUGGUAAAACUAUCAUUUUAUCACCAAAUAUUUAAACUGUUAGCAUUUUUCUACCAUUCCAUUAAUUAAAUAAAAUUAUGCUGACAUCAUAAGGGCAUUUUGGACAUCUCACGCGAAGUCAAAACGUUGCGUUUUGCAAUUGUAAAAAAACAAGCAAUUUAGACAUGGAAGCCAUAAAAAUCGAAAUCAACCCCCCUCUCUCUUGUGUCUUGUUCCAUCUCCACCCUCUCUCGCUCACUGUCAUUGACCCAUAUCUCUCUCACUCUCGCAGCAGUGUCGUCUUUUGGAGGUAAUUUUGUAAUUAAAUCGUCCCUUGUUGUUCUUCCUUUUUAAAGGGUACAAUCGUCUUGUCGUCUUUUGGAGGUAAUUUUGUAAUUAAAUUGUCUUUUGUUGUUCUUCCCUUUUAAAGGGUAAAAUCGUCUUUUACGCUACAGGGGUAAAAUUGAUUUUUUAUAUAUUUUUUGUUAAAUAUUAACUGAAUUUUAACGGAAUGGUGAGAAAAUGCUAACAAUUUAAACGUUUAGUGGUAAAAUGAUGUUUUUACCAAACCGUGGUACUGACAUGAUGUGUCAGAAUAACUUUGGUGGAAAAAUGAUAAUAUCCCUUUGCAAAAGAACGGAAUCUCAGGUGAUUUUGAAUUUUGGAACCCAAAUUUCAAAUAAAUAAACAAUAGGAUUCAGAAUAUUGGAAGAACCUUGGAAACUUGUUGCUAAUUGAUUUGAAGAAUAUUAACAUUUAGAAGAAUAUCAUAAUUUUGUAUUUUAUUGAACUUUUGAUUAAUAAAGUUAAAAUUUUAUUUUUAGAAUAUUGGAGUUCAUUCUAUUAAUAUAUCAAAAUCUAAUUCACUGAGCAACAUGAUUUUAUUUUUGGGUUUGUACACACUCGUUACACAAAUUUGAGCUCCAUUAUGCAUGGAGAAUAUAUAUAAUCUACUUGCUGUAAAUUUUUUAUGUAUAUUUUUUCUUCGCAUAUAAAGUGUGUAUGAUUUUGUUCUGUGCAGUCAAUGAAAAUAAAAAUAGUGAAAAAAUAAAUAUAUGUUUUUGCAGAGAGUAGAUUCUCCCAGCUUUAAUUGAUUCAUAUAUUAUCUUGAAUGAUUUUUAGUUCUUCCUGUUGGCCCUUUUGGUUUUGCCUGCACAAGAUCAUAAUGCUGGGGGAAUCUACUCUCUGCAAAAACAUAUAUUUAUUUUUUCACUAUUUUUAUUUGCAGAGAGUAGAUUCCCCCAGCUUUAAUUGAUUCAUAUAUUAUCUUGAAUGAUUUUUAGUUCUUCCUGUUGGCCCUUUUGGUUUUGCCUGCACAAGAUCAUAACGCUCUUAAAUCUGCAAUAUCUACUUGGUAUGAUUAUGUUCCGUUAAAAUUUUAUUAUAUGUUCCAUUAAAAAUUAUGUUUACUUAUUUCAAUUUUACUUGUGUAGAUUUAAGUCGUUUAUCCGAAUCGUUAAGCGAAUCGAAACCGAACCGUUAAGGUGAACCAAUACCAAACUAAAAUCGAAUUGAACCGAAUUUGUCAGUUCUGGUUUGGUUUUCAUUUUUCGUAAAUGUCUUAUCGGUUUUUUUAAUCCCCAACCCAAAAUGAAUUGAAAAUUUCGCUUUAUCCCAAAAUUGAACCAAGCCAAAUUGAUGCUCACCCCUAAUAAUAAUAAUAAGAAGAAGAAGAUCAUUGUCUUUCGCUAAGUGGCCAAGCUAUUGUGUGGGCAGCAGUUUGAGCUCCCAUAAAGCAUUGUGGGAGCUAAAUUCCUUCCUCAAUUAUACCAAACAAUUAAGUGGAUAUAUUCUUCUCCCUCACGAAAUGUGAAUGGGGUGGAUCAUUAAAUCCCACAAUCAUGCCCAUUCCUUUGCUUCGACACUCAAUGCCACGGUUGAUUGGAAAGUGUAGGAAGUUCAUGUGUUCUAUAUUGGUUGGCAUUUAGGGUUGGAGAAUCAAAUUUGGAGAAUGUAGCUAUUGGAAAUAUCGAAAACAAUGCCGAUUAUGGAUGUGAAUAUAACACAAUAUAGACGAAUGAUAAAAUGAACUAGACUAUUUGAUAUGACGUGAGUUACAUAAAACACGUAGGGCAUGAUCGUGUCGUUUUCUAUUAUUGCGGGGACUUAGAAGAGGAUCAUGUAUCUCAGUACUUUUAUCUCUUAAGAGUCGUGAUCAGAAGAAACCAAUGAGAUGAUUCAUCAUUUAUUGGAAAGUAAAUCUAUUAUAAUAGUUGUGAAUGUUUUAGAACAACUACACCACUAUAAAUUGUAAUAAUUAAAGGGUUGAAAAAAUAACCUUUUGACACUUAGGCAGAGCUCUUGUGAAAAAUAUAAUUUUUUUUCAAUUCUAGCGCUCAUGUGAAACAAUCCACGUUGGCUCUAAUCGUAAGAACUUAUUGCUACACAAAAUCAAGCCAUAAAUGUGAGCAAAUUAUCACUACUUAAACAAAACAAAAAAAAAAUGCAAAAAUUACCAGAGAUACUUUUAAAAUAUCUGGUUAGUAAAUACUAGUUGAUUGACAAAUUUUUUUCUAUUGCCUGCUCAAUAAAAGUUAGGUAAUACGCUUUCAUGGAAAUAACCUAAACAUGAUCAAAUGAUUAAGAGAUUUAAUAUAGGACAAACAUAUAGUGUGACAUGAAUGAAUUUUAAAAUCUCUCCACGUAGAUAUCCCUCGGGCAAAAGGCUCUAUAAAAAGUGUCGAUUUACAAGUUCACCGCAAGUAGAGAAAUGGGCAAUACUUUUGAGUAAUAAUUAAAAAAACUAUUUAAACCUAAUUUAAUGUAAAAGUACAAAAUUUAUUAGAUAAUUUCACACUUACCUUCCCUGAGCAUUUUUAUUAAAAGCAUAUUGAAUAAGCUUCAAAUGAUUAAGAGUAACAAGAUUGUUCACCUGAAACGGAACAGCUUUGUACUUGAGAUUUGCUUCCUGUGACGCCUGAUCGUAGGGUUAAAGUUGAUAUUGGCCUAGUCUACGAUUUCUAAUUCCUCCCAUUGACAGUACACUGACACUAGUUGAUGUCUGAGGUUCUUGUCUAAGGUCAACUAAUUCAUCUGUAUCUUAUAUAAAAUUAAUUUGAAAUUAAAAUCAUUCAUUAUUGAAUAUGAUCAUGGAAAUGAAGCUUACAAAAUGAGAUUUAAAAACUCUUACCUCAUCUUGGAGAACAGGUGGUGGAAUGGGGGCAUAACUUCCUACAAACUAGGAGGGGUCUUAAAGAAUUUCACCUACUGCCUCACUUGUCCUAGUCCAGGCCAUCAGUUUAUCGAGAUUCAAUAUGCACUCCACAAAGUCCUCAUUACUGGUCAUAGGCAUUUAGUUUUUCCCAUCUAUGGUUGGUUGGGUUUUCCAAUUGGACAUGUAGAUUUUAAACUUUUGAAGGUCGGAGAUGACGAUGGAUCAAAUGGUUAUUUUUAUGGUGCCCUAACAGGAUAGUUUGAUUUCAAUUCAUCCUCCAAAGACUUCUUAACCUUUUUCCAUUCUCAUAUUAAUUGAAUCUAUUUUGUGUUCAAUUCUUUAGACUGACUCUGUAAGAUCCUAAAGGCCAUUUC
RNAcentral lists this long non-coding RNA (4525 nucleotides) under Citrus sinensis (sweet orange). Its description in RNAcentral is "long non-coding RNA (CSIN_LNC002086)". The record is from RNAcentral. Lineage: Eukaryota; Viridiplantae; Streptophyta; Magnoliopsida; Sapindales; Rutaceae.